AUUUUAUAUAGCAUAGGGGGGAAUAUGAACAUUAAUUUCAUUUGGAUUUUGAUUUUUGAGCGCAAUUUUUGGUCAAUAUUUUUUCUUAGUUUCUAAAUCUAACAUGGUUUCUGAACAACAAUGGCGGAAGACUCUUCCCUCAGAAACCUCAUUUGCUUGGCGAUGAACGCAUCUAUGGUGCGCUGGAACUCCUCAUUGCUCAGCUCAUCCUGCG
This 214-nucleotide long non-coding RNA is filed under the name Lotus japonicus. RNAcentral describes it as "long non-coding RNA (LJAP_LNC001796)". Lineage: Eukaryota; Viridiplantae; Streptophyta; Magnoliopsida; Fabales; Fabaceae. The record is from RNAcentral.